GUCUACGGCCACAUCACCCUGAAUGCACCCAAUCUCGUCUGAUCUCGGAAGCUAAGUAGGGUCGGGCCUGGUUAGUACUUGGAUGGGAAACCUCCUGGGAAUACAGGGUGCUGUAGGCU
RNAcentral lists this ribosomal RNA (119 nucleotides) under Saimiri boliviensis boliviensis (Bolivian squirrel monkey). Lineage: Eukaryota; Metazoa; Chordata; Mammalia; Primates; Cebidae. The record is from RNAcentral.